AGCAGCCGCGGUAAUUCCAGCUCCAAUAGCGUAUAUUAAAGUUGUUGCAGUUAAAAAGCUCGUAGUUGAAUUUCGGGAUCAAUUAGUCGGUCGUGCCUCUGGUACGUACUGGUUUUAUUGGUUCCUCCCUUCUGACGAAACAUGACGUCAUUAAUUUGGUGUCUUGGGGAAUCAGGACUGUUACUUUGAAAAAAUUAGAGUGUUUAAAGCAGGCUCGCGCUUGAAUACAUUAGCAUGGAAUAAUGAAAUAGGACGUUUGAUUCUAUUUUGUUGGUUUCUAGGAUCGACGUAAUGAUUAAUAGGGAUAGUUGGGGGCAUUAGUAUUCAAUUGUCAGAGGUGAAAUUCUUGGAUUUAUUGAAGACUAACUACUGCGAAAGCAUUUGCCAAGGAUGUUUUCAUUAAUCAAGAACGAAAGUUAGGGGAUCGAAGACGAUCAGAUAACCGUCGUAGUCUUAACCAUAAACUAUAGCCGACUAGGGAUCGGAUGAUGUUAAUUUUUAAUGACUCAUUCGGCGCCUU
Molecule: unclassified non-coding RNA, 520 nt
Filed under: uncultured Glomus
Lineage: Eukaryota; Fungi; Glomeromycota; Glomeromycetes; Glomerales; Glomeraceae
Description: SSU rRNA
Rfam family: Eukaryotic small subunit ribosomal RNA
Source: RNAcentral